UGAUGAUUAACUCCAUGUGGCAUCAGAUAUGGAGGUGAUUGCUGAAGGAAGAGAUACAAAUUGAAUUGAAAUUAUACAACCAGACAUGAUUUAUGUGAGAACAGUCUGGGAUUUUUUUAAGGCAAGCUUUCAUGUGAAAUAUAUCUGUGCUACUAUUGCUCUACUAACAAGCAAGAAUAAACCUUUAGGCAAAUUUCAAGGUUUAGAGGAUUAGUUAUUGUGAUUCAUCAGCUGUUAAAAUAUUAUCGGAUUAGAGAGGUCAGAGGAAAGAAUCAGGAAUGUCCCAAGUCUGCAAUCCCCAUCUUCCUUCCUGUGAUGAUAAUCAUCAUUGUCAACAUGACUGCAUUUGGAAUCACCUAGGAGACACACCUCUAUGGGUGCAUUUGAGAUGUUUAACUGAGGAGAAAAGACUCUGAAGGUUUGGCCCUGGCUCUGCUGCAAGGCAGAGGAUCUAGAUUGGCUGGCCUGAAGUCUAUUCACACUCCGUGGGAGGUCUGGUCCAACCCUGGAGAUACAAGAUAAAACGAGAAAUAAGAAAAAAAACAUGUGAAGGUCAUUUGCGGAUAUUUUGUUUUGUUUUUUAUCUGGAGGAAAGCAGAGCAGAACUCAUGAGUAAUAAACUCCUAAGGACGCAGUUGUAGGAAACAAUAACAAUUGAACAAAGAAAACUUGGCUAAAAGGAAGUGGGAAAAAAAUAACUGGAAAACCCAGGGAAACUGGAGGACGCUGUACAUCAUCUGGGUUUUUGUUUGUUUGUUUGUUUGUUUUGCAGUGCUUCUUUUCCAGGGAUAGGAAUUGGUAUAUAAAUAAACACUUCCUGAAGUGGA
Peromyscus maniculatus bairdii (prairie deer mouse) is the source of this 827-nucleotide non-coding RNA. The record is from RefSeq and is a predicted model, not a curated record. NCBI's taxonomy places the organism in Eukaryota, Metazoa, Chordata, Mammalia, Rodentia, Cricetidae.